Molecule: long non-coding RNA, 1136 nt
Organism: Anabas testudineus (climbing perch)
Lineage: Eukaryota; Metazoa; Chordata; Actinopteri; Anabantiformes; Anabantidae
Source: Ensembl
GGUGUAUGACAUGCUUGCCGCAUGUAACCAUGCUGUGGUGUUUAAAUAGCCUCAUGUUGUAAUCUGACAGAUCCCAGUCUUCCAACCUGCUGUGAGGGAUCUGGCAAUGAAUAGGACCUUUACCAUCAUCAGUACCUAUUUCCCGGACUUCAGCUACAGUGACUGGAUUGUGUGGUUCCAUGUGAAACUGGUUCCUCUCCUCCCAAGUUUCAGUCCAACCAUGCUCAUGACUGUAACGUCAAGCACAAACUGCACAACCUACCGUGUCGUGUGAGUAGCAUUUCACAAACAAGUGCAUUGCACCAAAGUGCGCUAAUACAAGUUAGCCGUUACGUAAACCUCUUUUUUUUUUUCCCGCACUCUUUGCAGUGUGAGUGGCUUGGCCUUGGUUUUCCCUGAAAUACCAUUGCAAACAGCACAAGAGAUCACAGCUGUUUUGCUGGGAUACCUGAAGAAAUCAGUCGCUGUCAUCGGUGAGCCAGCUUGCAGACCGGGAAACCAGAAUGUCACCAAGUGGCUGGACGAAAACUUGGGUCCAUUUUUACAGUUUGCACCAUACGCUGAUCUCAAAGUCUUCAACAUCUCUGCCGUGGCAGUCGUGGGCUCUCUCUCACCAAACCAAAAGGCUGAACUGAUCUUGGAUCCAACCAGUGGCGCUUUGGAGGAUGUGGCCAUCGUACAGAAGGUGUUCGCAAGCUUGACCGAAUCCGCUGGUAUCGAGCAGCUCAGUCUGUUCUUCCUGGCUUUUACAGAAGUCACCAAGCAGGAAAACAUCACCAUCAUCGAGAACCCAGCGGUACGAGAAACCAUCUUGAACCUGACGCUGACAGCCAUUGCUCCUGAAUUUGUACAGUUUGGGCCCCAAGACUUUGGGCUGUGGUUCCAGGUCUAUUUGUCCACCGUGAUGGCGAGCCUCCUUCCCGACAGUUUGGUGGCAAUCCCCAGUAACAUCAGCUGCGCAUCCUACGAAGCCAUACUCACUGGUCUUCAGCAAAGUUUGACAUCGCUGCCACUGGAUCUCUCGCAGGGUGUGCGCUCGACCAUGGAGUCAUUCGAGAUGACAUUUGCACGUAUGUGUCAAAACGCUCUGCUGACAAAGCUUUUCAGAAAAGCCUUUUGCCACCGCAUGAUGGCAG